Molecule: long non-coding RNA, 99 nt
Organism: Ipomoea nil (Japanese morning glory)
Lineage: Eukaryota; Viridiplantae; Streptophyta; Magnoliopsida; Solanales; Convolvulaceae
Exons: 3
Source: RefSeq, a predicted model, not a curated record
CAAAGAUAUGUCAAACUGUACUCGAUUAUCGGGACCCAUCAAAUGAUUAAUAUACUCAAAUAUCUGAUCCAUUGCUAGCUGCGGUAUAUUAAAAGUUGU